RNAcentral lists this ribosomal RNA (253 nucleotides) under uncultured Oscillospiraceae bacterium. RNAcentral's name for it is "partial 16S ribosomal RNA". It matches the Rfam family "Bacterial small subunit ribosomal RNA", at positions 524 to 776 of the family's 1533-position model. Lineage: Bacteria; Bacillati; Bacillota; Clostridia; Eubacteriales; Oscillospiraceae. The record is from RNAcentral.
UACGUAGGUGGCGAGCGUUGUCCGGAUUUACUGGGUGUAAAGGGCGCGUAGGCGGGGAUGCAAGUCAGGUGUGAAAUCUAUGGGCUUAACCCAUAAACUGCACUUGAAACUGCAUUUCUUGAGUGAUGGAGAGGCAGGCGGAAUUCCUAGUGUAGCGGUGAAAUGCGUAGAUAUUAGGAGGAACACCAGUGGCGAAGGCGGCCUGCUGGACAUUAACUGACGCUGAUGCGCGAAAGCGUGGGGAGCAAACAGG